RNAcentral lists this ribosomal RNA (253 nucleotides) under uncultured bacterium. Its description in RNAcentral is "partial 16S ribosomal RNA". It matches the Rfam family "Bacterial small subunit ribosomal RNA", at positions 524 to 776 of the family's 1533-position model. The record is from RNAcentral.
UACGUAGGGUGCAAGCGUUAAUCGGAAUUACUGGGCGUAAAGCGUGCGCAGGCGGUUGUGCAAGACAGAUGUGAAAUCCCCGGGCUCAACCUGGGAACUGCAUUUGAAACUGGCGGGCUUGAGUGUGGCAGAGGGGGGUGGAAUUCCGCGUGUAGCAGUGAAAUGCGUAGAGAUGCGGAGGAACACCGAUGGCGAAGGCAGCCCCCUGGGCCAACACUGACGCUCAGGCACGAAAGCGUGGGGAGCAAACAGG